CAGCCGCCGCGGUAAAACGAAGGGUGCAAGCGUUACUCGGAAUUACUGGGCGUAAAGCGUGCGUAGGUGGUGGUUUAAGUCCGUUGUGAAAGCCCUGGGCUCAACCUGGGAAUUGCAGUGGAUACUGGGUCACUAGAGUGUGGUAGAGGAUAGUGGAAUUUCCGGUGUAGCAGCGAAAUGCGUAGAGAUCGGAAGGAACAUCUGUGGCGAAGGCGACUAUCUGGGCCAACACUGACACUGAGGCACGAAAGCGUGGGGAGCAAACAGGAUUAGAGACCCGCGUAGUCCCUGUCUCUUAUAC
Molecule: ribosomal RNA, 301 nt
Filed under: uncultured bacterium
Lineage: Bacteria
Description: partial 16S ribosomal RNA
Rfam family: Bacterial small subunit ribosomal RNA
Source: RNAcentral